AUGAGAGUUGCGACGACGCCUUCAAGAAGGGAGCAAGCUUCGCCGCCACCGGUCCAUCCGAAGAUAGAGCAGGUUUUCACCCCGGCCAACACUCACCGCCACCGAGCACCACACCUCGGCUACCACGCCGCCCACACGGCCGUGGCAACCGGGCAACACCGAGGCACGGGCUCUGCCCAUGAGCAUCGCGCCACCACCACCAGGGCCGCCGCCCCGGUAUCCAAGACCUUGACACCAAGUCACCCAGGACCCGCCGCUACCCCAGCCGAAGAUACGAGCGGAAAGGCCCCGCCUUUUGCACCCCUGGUGGACACCCAACGUCGAGACCCAAUAGGUCGGCCGGCCACAACUAGCCUCCAUCGAACCGUCCUGCAGCACCGGGCGCGAUACGAGUGCAAUCCUCUUGCUGGGCGUGAGACGGGCCGGUCUUGCAGCCAGACGCGAGGCGAGCUCGGUCCUGCGGCACUGGGCGCGAGAUGUACCGCAGCUAGGAGAAGGCCAGCCCUCCGACAAGAGUAG
This 519-nucleotide ribosomal RNA is filed under the name Triticum aestivum (bread wheat). Its description in RNAcentral is "partial small subunit ribosomal RNA". Lineage: Eukaryota; Viridiplantae; Streptophyta; Magnoliopsida; Poales; Poaceae. The record is from RNAcentral.